AUGGUAAUUUAAAUAACAUACAGGCAGGUACAGCGAUUUAAUCUCAAAGAACUUGCACGUAAAAAUGCAUUUUUAUUUAUUGGGGGGGCGUGAAAACCCUACCUGUGUGUAUUUGUACUCGGAAGGGUUUUGAUGAAUAUUGAAUAAUCAGACAUAGUACGAUAAGGUUGUAUGUCUAAAGGGAAACAGCCCAGAACAAGAGUUAAUAAGGUUCCAAAAUUACUGUUAAGUGAAAAUAAGGAAGUAUUUAUUCAAUACACCCAGGAAAUAGGCUUAGAAGCGGCCAUUUUUUAAAGAUCUCGUAACAGAGCACUGGUUAAGUUUAUUUUUUUUUUUAUAAAUAAACAGGGGNUAAAAGCACCUAAAAUUUAACGGNUNUAAAACAGUAUACCGAGACCUUGCCCAUAUAUNUAUAAUCUNUGGAAAGGGAGAGUUAACAUAUAUAACUCAUACAAAUAAUUUUUCUAGAGGUGAUUAAAAAUGUGGGGUAGCAGAACAUUGGGUAAAUCUAGGAUUUUUUCUUAUUAAGUGUUAAAAUUAGAUAUCCCAAGUGAUAAUGCUGACAUGAGUAACGAUAAAGGGAAUUAUUCCCUCGCCUAAAGCUUAUGGUAUUUNUAUUAAAGUAACGGCCUNUAAGUUUAUAUAUACUGAAAAAUUUCUUUUUUUUUUUUAAGAAGAAAGUAGUGUAUACAUAAGAUACCAAUAUGUAUGCAUAAUCCUAAAGGAUUAAACGAUGAGAGAAUCUACUAAUGUUUAUUGUUAAAUAACCUUUGGGUACAAUCAUAUGUGCUAAAGUGACAAAGUGUUCUGGAAAAACAUUAAACAAUACAGGAUAAUUGAGAACAAAGGGAGUAUCAAUUAUGCUGUUAGGUACCGUACCUAAAAACUACCCCAAGUAAGUUAGUAGAGAAUACGAAGGCGUUNACGGUAACA
Molecule: ribosomal RNA, 933 nt
Filed under: Trapeliopsis granulosa
Lineage: Eukaryota; Fungi; Ascomycota; Lecanoromycetes; Trapeliales; Trapeliaceae
Description: partial large subunit ribosomal RNA
Rfam family: Bacterial large subunit ribosomal RNA
Source: RNAcentral